RNAcentral lists this ribosomal RNA (463 nucleotides) under uncultured bacterium. Its description in RNAcentral is "partial 16S ribosomal RNA". It matches the Rfam family "Bacterial small subunit ribosomal RNA", at positions 28 to 507 of the family's 1533-position model. The record is from RNAcentral.
GAUGAACGCUGACAGAAUGCUUAACACAUGCAAGUCGAUGGGGAAGUGGUGCUUGCACCAUGGUAACCAUGGCGGACGGGUGAGUAACGCGUAAGGAACUUGCCUGCGGGACUGGGAUAACAGCAGGAAACUGCUGAUAAUACCGGAUAAGGUCAUUAAGCUGCAUAGCUUAGUGAUGAAAGGAGACGCCUGCGGAGAGCCUUGCGUCCUAUUAGCUAGUUGGUGGGGUAACGGCCCACCAAGGCGAAGAUAGGUAGCCGGCCUGAGAGGGUGGACGGCCACAAGGGGACUGAGAUACGGCACUGACUUCCACGGGAGGCAGCAGUGGGGAAUAGUGGACUAGGGGGGCAACUCUGAUCCAGCAAUUCUGUGUGCACGAAGACGGUUUUCGGAUUGUAAAGUGCUUUCAGCAGGGAAGAAGGAAGUGACGGUACCUGCAGAAGAAGCGACGGCUAAAUACGUG